CCACUAGCCAGACGCAUCUGCUUCUUCCCCGUGAGCUGGGCGUAUCCGGCGGCGAGCGGUUCGGAUGUUGAAUCUAGACGCGGCGGCGAGCGGUUCCGCGUCCUUCCUCCAGGGGGUGAGCGGCGGCGAGCAUCGGGUUAACUCUGCGCCGACUGUCUCCUCAGCAGUGUCGUCGUUGGCUGGCCGAAUCAGCGUCAAUCUCGACACGGCGACCGGCGUGUGGCUGCAGGAGGGCAGGGGCGAUGCCGGCAUCAGCAUACUGGUCAGGCAGCACGAUGGGCCGUGGAUGCGGUGGCAUCGGCGUCGUGGUCCGAGAGCACAGGGGUUCGCGUCUGCGAGCGGCAUCGGCAUCAUGUCGAGGGGCGGGCGGCGCUGCAGGUGGCAUCUGCAUCGGGGACGAGCGGCGAGCGGCCUCAACCUUGGUCUUGGUCGUUUCACGGCGGCUGGGCACGGCGGAAGGUAUCAUGUGUUAUUAGCAGAUUCACAUUGGUUCUGUGUUGCCACAGUGGACUAGAGGCAUGUUCAAACGAUUCAGAAGAUGCACUGGAGCGAUCUACUUGCUGGUGCGAGUGCAUCAAGGUAACGAAAUUCUAUGAUAUUUCUACCAUGUACUUUGUGAUAUAUCUGCUCUUAUAUGGAUGCGUUUGUUUUGCUUACCUUUGUCGCGUGGUGGGUGACGUGCUGUGCUGUGGGUGGCCUCGUCCAUGGCUUCAUCGCCGCCACCCCCGUCCUUGCUCUCCGGCUGCAACCAUGGUCCCUGACCUCAUAUUCUCAGUUAUACCUUUUCGUUUGCAUGAAAAUUGAUGGUAGUGUCAAUGAAAAAUGCAUGGAAGUUGGUUUAGCCUGUUAGUUUCUUUGCUUCGAACUUUGAUCAUGCUCCCAGCCUUAGUAAAUUUGGCCUUACGGACGAAUAUAGAUUCAGAUAUUCAGUAUGCCAAAUGUAUUUUAAAUCUGGGCAAAUUACAACAGAUGGUAUUCCAAUUUCUGGCCAUUGACCAUAGAUGGCAUUUUAUUUUGUUUUAAUGUUUUUGUUUUAUGGGCAUGAGGCCAUGAAUUAUGUAGCUGUAUAUGGGGCCAUUCAGUCAUGCAUCUAACCAUGACGCUAGUUCUUAUUUUUGCGUGGGUGGUUCUUAUGUCUCGUUGCCACCAAGAACUACAUGGACAUAAGUUAUUUUAUGCUGGCACUGAGAAUUCUUGCAUUGACAUAACUUAUAUUACAAGCUCUGCGGAACUUUGUUUUAACCCAGCUUAUGGUCUGGUAGUUUUAGAGGACUAUUCUUCAAUGAACUUCCAUGUCAAUUCGGAAUCGUUGGCAAUAGCGGCGUGGCGUGCUUCAUUCUGUUGGAUGGGAUUGUACGAACGGCUGGAGGGUGGCGGAAACUGAUGACACCAGUGGCCUCAGCCUCAGAUUCGACCUGUAUAGUUGCAUCACCCUGCUAGGCCGCUGACAAAUUAACCAUCUUCAUGCCUGGGAAGGAACCUGUAAGCUCAUAAUUUCAUCUCUGUCGGUAGAAGAGCUCGGAAGAUUGUUGGCUCGGAUACAAGCAACAGGAGCUGACAUAGUCAAGAAUAUUUUCAAAUACUUGUGCACUGCCAAGUGAGUUUACUGUCUAAAACCUCUGCAACCUUUGUAUCUUAGCUAUGCACUAGUAUGAGCUCUUGAUGAUUUUUUGUAUACAUACUUCAUAGUAUUAGUCCACAAGGCUGUUUGCAUGUAAUUGAAUCACAGAUUUAAUAGCUAUGUGUUAUAAAUUAUGAUUUUUUUUUACCACUAUACCACUGCCAUAGACAUGCUUUUAUUUUGAACGGUUUAAUAUUGAUUCAUCUGUGUGAUUAUGUCCAUGCUAUUUCGUAAAUUCUUAUCCAGUCUGCUAUUGAUCAUUUUGAUUUUGUUAUGUUGGCAGUAGGCCUCCCAUAGAAAAAAACAUGUUAGAGGUACGUGCAGCAAUUAUGAACUUGUUAACCUUGGUCACAUUAAGAUCAUUGACAUCCCCAAGCAACCCUGUUUAGUUGGGGUUAAUGGACCAGUGUGCACAGACCAUAUCUUGACAAUUUGAUCGUGGCCACCACUGAUUAGCUUGCUACGUUAUUCUGGAAUAUUAUAUAUCCACACCCACCAUCAUUAGCACUGAUGGUGAUUCUGCAUUUAGAUGGGAUUAGCGUUUCCAUGAUGUCGACGCACUCAGCUUUAGAUCGAAAAAUGAUGUCAUUGGUGUUUCCAUGAUGUCGAGGUACCCAGCUUCAGAUCGACUAAUGAUGCCAUCAGCUUGUUGUGCAUGGUGUUGUGCCCGUAGUGUUAGUAUAUACGAAAAACUGCUUGGCAGUGCUGCGGGCGUAGCAUGCCGGCCAGCCGGUGGGCUUCGGCCUCAAGGUACAAUGUUACGCUUGAUCAUUUCUUACAUUAGUCACCAGCAGUGUCGCAGUUUCCACCACGUUGAAUCAAACAAAAAGUACUACUGCUGUUCUUCUAUCACCAGCAAUGGCGCAUACAGAUCUGUCAAUAGUGUCUAGGAUUCUGAAAUUUAUGGCAUGGUUGGCUUCUGUAGCCUGUUCUUACUGGUCAAACUAAUGUUGGUACUUUAGUUGAGUUGAUCUAGUUUUUGACUGAUCCUUCUUUAUGUGGGAUAUUUUGCAAUUGCUACUGGCGACUAGCUCAUUAGGAAGGGUUACUACUUAAUUACUGAUGUCUGUCUUUGCAGUCACAACAAUACACAGUUUAGUUAUUCUCUGCCAUGGGCAUUGCAAAGUGUAAAGAUUCGUUGUGUUACUCAGCAAUCAGCGUAGUUCGUACAUGAUGGGCUUGAUAUUGCCUACAACUCAUGGAAAUAUAUACAAACAUUCCACAUAUGUACCACUGAACAAAGGAGGUAAUAUCCUAUUGUGAAGCUGCAUCUAUGCUAAUACAUGUUCGCAUCAGGAAAGAAAUGUUUGAUAACGCUGUAAGCAACAUAGUAUGUCAUUAAAAAGGUCUAAUUCCCUAUCAAUGCCACCGGAGUCAACCUACAUGGUUUUACAAGAAUUUUAACUAUGAUAGCGAAGCCAACAUGACUUUGUAGAUAUCAUUCAUCAUUCAAAUAGCAGCAAGUAUGGGGUUGAAAAUAGACUCUUAAAAGAAUACUGAAAUACAACUUCAGCAAAUAAAUUGUGGAUGUUAAUACACAUUAAUUUUUUACAUGAUCUUUUCUGUUUACAAUUAUCAUUCAAGAACUUUUGUUAUUGCUGCUAUGAUAUAUAAUAUUUUCCACUUGAAGAUGACUAUCAUAUAAUGGAGUCAUCAAGAUAAGUCGAAUAUGAAUUUAUGAACUUGAUUCCUAGACUUUAUGCAUGAACAAAAUUAGUUAAUCUGUAAUUGUGCAAACGAAUUAGUGCCUAUAGAAUCGUGUUGUUAUCUCCUUUUUCUUAAUCAUAUUAUUUCAAACUGUAAUUUACGUUUGCAGCAGCUGGGAAGCUAUGCAGGGCAUGGUGGCGGGCCUCGGCUUCCUUGUGCGGAGCCUAUGCUUGUUGUUGCCAUUGAAGUUCUCCUACGAUAGUCCCACCUCUGUGGUCCUUUAUGCAUAACUUUGAAAGCUUAUCGGCUUAUUGAUUCAUCUCAGGAUUAGAAGCUUAACCGAAUUCUGAAUCAAUGAUUAUGGCCUUUGUCCCUAUGGCAUGAGCGCAUGCUUAGAAACAAAAGGUGGAACUUUUGUGCAUCGUGUUUAUUUUCUUUUGAUACUUCUUUGGACUACAUGACAUUCAUACUUAUCCUAUCUACAUUCUUCUUAUGUUUCUUUACAUUGAUUUGUCAAAUAGCAAGUGGCAAAAAGAGUACACAUUAGGGGAUUCUGUUCCACAACUGAUGAGGUUUAUGUUACUGUCGUAAGCUUCCUUGGCAGCUGUGGUUGGUACCAAUUGGUCUUGCUCUUUCUAGCACUCCUGGGAAAUCUUAUCGCUGUUCCAGAUCGUGCCUUCUCGGAUAUGUUGUUGUCUUCUUCGCAUGGAAGAAACAGGGAUAUAUUUAACAUUGUAUUUGACCCACUGCCUGCUGCGUGGCUUCUCCUCCUCUGAACAUCAAAUGAAGCGACAUAAAGUCAGCAUUGACGACAUUUGAUAGUUUCUUUUGUCAGGGUUUAUCAUGCCUCAUACAUGAGCUAUAAUUAUCUCUGAUUUGAAUUGUGUACACAAUAGGCUUCACAUGUAAUUAUUGCGUCUACACAAAUAUUAUGUGUAUUCCUUUCUUAUUAAAUCUCUCAUACACUAGAUUUCAUACAUUGCUAGAUUUGUAAUACACACUAGGAUCAUGGUUUUACAGCGCGUAAGGAU
Molecule: non-coding RNA, 4299 nt
Organism: Lolium perenne
Lineage: Eukaryota; Viridiplantae; Streptophyta; Magnoliopsida; Poales; Poaceae
Source: RefSeq, a predicted model, not a curated record